GAGGUCGUUAUGUUAAAGUCUGGGACAUGUUAAAAGGAGGACAAUUGCUAGUAUCUUUGAAAAAUCAUCACAAAACCGUGACAUGUUUAUGUCUAAGCAGCUCUGGACAGAGGUUACUCUCUGGCUCACUGGAUAGGAAGGUGAAAGUAUAUAGCACAACUUCCUACAAAGUAGUCCACAGUUUUGAUUAUGCAGCUUCAAUUUUGAGUCUUGCCCUUGCACAUGAAGAUGAGACAAUAGUUGUAGGAAUGACCAAUGGAAUACUGAGUGUUAAACAUCGGAAAUCUGAAGCAAAGAAGGAAUCACUUCCCAGAAGAAGAAGGCCUGCAUAUCGAACCUUUAUUAAAGGAAAAAAUUACAUGAAGCAACGGGUAUUUGUGCAUUUCUCAUAUUUGUUUAAAGGGUGAAAUUUGUUAGAGUAGCCAGCUUCAUCCCUGCACAUUACUGGAAAGCGUAGUUCACAUGGCACUUUAUUUUGCUUUUCUCUACAUCAGAAUUAUUUCUAGAUUGCUAGAUUGGGGACAUUAUUGAUGAGUAAUGGGGAACAAGGACUACUUUAUGUAAUACUCUGCAUCAUAACAUAAUGUUAUAAUGCUUUACUGCAUUCAAAAUAAUGUCUUUCACAUACUACCUGAUUUGAUCUAAAUCCCAAGAAGUAGUAGAACCAAUCAUGUCCCUGUUUGGCAUCUGAGAAGAUUGAGCGACAAAUAAUUUGUGAUUGAUUCAGGAUUUCAUUACUGGUAUCCAGAGUUGUUGAGACUAGAUCUCAUUAUCUCUGAUUG
This 782-nucleotide small RNA is filed under the name Pan troglodytes (chimpanzee). Its description in RNAcentral is "retained intron". The record is from RNAcentral. Lineage: Eukaryota; Metazoa; Chordata; Mammalia; Primates; Hominidae.